GACGAACGCUGGCGGCGUGCCUAAUACAUGCAAGUAGAACGCUGAAGAGAGGAGCUUACUCUUCUUGGAUGAGUUGCGAACGGGUGAGUAACGCGUAGGUAACCUGCCUUGUAGCGGGGGAUAACUAUUGGAAACGAUAGCUAAUACCGCAUAACAAUGGAUGACACAUGUCAUUUAUUUGAAAGGGGCAAUUGCUCCACUACAAGAUGGACCUGCGUUGUAUUAGCUAGUAGGUGAGGUAAUGGCUCACCUAGGCGACGAUACAUAGCCGACCUGAGAGGGUGAUCGGCCACACUGGGACUGAGACACGGCCCAGACUCCUACGGGAGGCAGCAGUAGGGAAUCUUCGGCAAUGGGGGCAACCCUGACCGAGCAACGCCGCGUGAGUGAAGAAGGUUUUCGGAUCGUAAAGCUCUGUUGUAAGUCAAGAACGGGUGUGAGAGUGGAAAGUUCACACUGUGACGGUAGCUUACCAGAAAGGGACGGCUAACUACGUGC
Molecule: ribosomal RNA, 498 nt
Filed under: uncultured bacterium
Lineage: Bacteria
Description: partial 16S ribosomal RNA
Rfam family: Bacterial small subunit ribosomal RNA
Source: RNAcentral